Molecule: ribosomal RNA, 395 nt
Filed under: uncultured bacterium
Lineage: Bacteria
Description: partial 16S ribosomal RNA
Rfam family: Bacterial small subunit ribosomal RNA
Source: RNAcentral
AUACGUAGGGUGCGAGCGUUAAUCGGAAUUACUGGGCGUAAAGCGUGCGCAGGCGGUUUUGUAAGACAGUGGUGAAAUCCCCGGGCUCAACCUGGGAACUGCCAUUGUGACUGCAAGGCUGGAGUGCGGCAGAGGGGGAUGGAAUUCCGCGUGUAGCAGUGAAAUGCGUAGAUAUGCGGAGGAACACCGAUGGCGAAGGCAAUCCCCUGGGCCUGCACUGACGCUCAUGCACGAAAGCGUGGGGAGCAAACAGGAUUAGAUACCCUGGUAGUCCACGCCCUAAACGAUGUCAACUGGUUGUUGGGAAUUUAUUUUCUCAGUAACGAAGCUAACGCGUGAAGUUGACCGCCUGGGGAGUACGGCGGCAAGGUUAAAACUUAAAGGAAUUGACGGGG